CGGGAAACCGGAGCUAAUACCGGAUAAUAUAUUGAACCGCAUGGUUCAAUAGUGAAAGACGGUUUUGCUGUCACUUAUAGAUGGAUCCGCGCCGCAUUAGCUAGUUGGUAAGGUAACGGCUUACCAAGGCAGCGAUGCGUAGCCGACCUGAGAGGGUGAUCGGCCACACUGGAACUGAGACACGGUCCAGACUCCUACGGGAGGCAGCAGCC
This 212-nucleotide ribosomal RNA is filed under the name uncultured Staphylococcus sp. Its description in RNAcentral is "partial 16S ribosomal RNA". It matches the Rfam family "Bacterial small subunit ribosomal RNA", at positions 150 to 355 of the family's 1533-position model. Lineage: Bacteria; Bacillati; Bacillota; Bacilli; Caryophanales; Staphylococcaceae. The record is from RNAcentral.